UACAGAGGGUGCGAGCGUUAAUCGGAAUUACUGGGCGUAAAGGGUGCGUAGGCGGUUAGAUAAGUUAGAUGUGAAAUCCCCGGGCUUAACCUGGGAAUUGCAUUUAAGACUGUAUAGCUAGAGUAGAGUAGAGGGAAGUGGAAUUUCCGGUGUAGCGGUGAAAUGCGUAGAUAUCGGAAAGAACAUCAGUGGCGAAGGCGGCUUCCUGGACUCAUACUGACGCUGAGGCACGAAAGCAUGGGUAGCAAACAGG
This 253-nucleotide ribosomal RNA is filed under the name uncultured bacterium. RNAcentral describes it as "partial 16S ribosomal RNA". It matches the Rfam family "Bacterial small subunit ribosomal RNA", at positions 524 to 776 of the family's 1533-position model. The record is from RNAcentral.